GCCGGGAUGGCGGAAUUGUUAGACGCACGGGACUUAAAAUCCUGUGGGCGUAAGUCCGUGCGGGUUCGAUUCCCGCUCUCGGCACCA
RNAcentral lists this transfer RNA (87 nucleotides) under Synergistaceae bacterium. RNAcentral describes it as "tRNA-Leu". It matches the Rfam family "tRNA". Rfam says of the family: Transfer RNA (tRNA) molecules are approximately 80 nucleotides in length. Their secondary structure includes four short double-helical elements and three loops (D, anti-codon, and T loops). Further hydrogen bonds mediate the characteristic L-shaped molecular structure. tRNAs have two regions of fundamental functional importance: the anti-codon, which is responsible for specific mRNA codon recognition, and the 3' end, to which the tRNAs corresponding amino acid is attached (by aminoacyl-tRNA synthetases). tRNAs cope with the degeneracy of the genetic code in two manners: having more than one tRNA (with a specific anti-codon) for a particular amino acid; and 'wobble' base-pairing, i.e. permitting non-standard base-pairing at the 3rd anti-codon position. Lineage: Bacteria; Thermotogati; Synergistota; Synergistia; Synergistales; Synergistaceae. The record is from RNAcentral.